GCCUUGAUGGUGAAAUGGUAGACACGCGAGACUCAAAAUCUCAUGCUGAAGAGCGUGGAGGUUCGAGUCCUCUUCAAGGAA
This 81-nucleotide transfer RNA is filed under the name Triticum aestivum (bread wheat). It matches the Rfam family "tRNA". Rfam says of the family: Transfer RNA (tRNA) molecules are approximately 80 nucleotides in length. Their secondary structure includes four short double-helical elements and three loops (D, anti-codon, and T loops). Lineage: Eukaryota; Viridiplantae; Streptophyta; Magnoliopsida; Poales; Poaceae. The record is from Rfam by way of RNAcentral. RNAcentral also lists the same sequence under 1 other name.